AACGAACGCUGGCGGCAUGCCUAACACAUGCAAGUCGAACGAGACCUUCGGGUCUAGUGGCGCACGGGUGCGUAACGCGUGGGAACCUGCCCUUAGGUUCGGAAUAACUCCCCGAAAGGGGUGCUAAUACCGGAUAAUGUCUUCGGACCAAAGAUUUAUCGCCUUUGGAUGGGCCCGCGUUGGAUUAGCUAGUUGGUAGGGUAAAAGCCUACCAAGGCGACGAUCCAUAGCUGGUCUGAGAGGAUGAUCAGCCACACUGGGACUGAGACACGGCCCAGACUCCUACGGGGGGCAGCAGGGGGGAAUUUUGGACAUGGGGCGAAAGCCUGAUCCAGAAAUGCCCGGGGAGUGAUGAAGGCCUUAGGGUUGUAAAGCUUUUUUACCCGGGAUGAUAAUGACAGUACCGGGAGAAGGAGCCCCGGCUAACCCCGU
RNAcentral lists this ribosomal RNA (432 nucleotides) under uncultured bacterium. RNAcentral's name for it is "partial 16S ribosomal RNA". It matches the Rfam family "Bacterial small subunit ribosomal RNA", at positions 29 to 506 of the family's 1533-position model. The record is from RNAcentral.